GAGCGAAUGGAUUGAGAGCUUGCUCUCAAGAAGUUAGCGGCGGACGGGUGAGUAACACGUGGGUAACCUGCCCAUAAGACUGGGAUAACUCCGGGAAACCGGGGCUAAUACCGGAUAACAUUUUGAACUGCAUGGUUCGAAAUUGAAAGGCGGCUUCGGCUGUCACUUAUGGAUGGACCCGCGUCGCAUUAGCUAGUUGGUGAGGUAACGGCUCACCAAGGCAACGAUGCGUAGCCGACCUGAGAGGGUGAUCGGCCACACUGGGACUGAGACACGGCCCAGACUCCUACGGGAGGCAGCAGUAGGGAAUCUUCCGCAAUGGACGAAAGUCUGACGGAGCAACGCCGCGUGAGUGAUGAAGGCUUUCGGGUCGUAAAACUCUGUUGUUAGGGAAGAACAAGUGCUAGUUGAAUAAGCUGGCACCUUGACGGUACCU
Molecule: ribosomal RNA, 436 nt
Filed under: Bacillus cereus
Lineage: Bacteria; Bacillati; Bacillota; Bacilli; Caryophanales; Bacillaceae
Description: bacterial SSU rRNA
Rfam family: Bacterial small subunit ribosomal RNA
Source: RNAcentral